This 492-nucleotide long non-coding RNA is filed under the name Monodelphis domestica (gray short-tailed opossum). RNAcentral's name for it is "lncRNA (ENSMODG00000037059.1)". The record is from RNAcentral. Lineage: Eukaryota; Metazoa; Chordata; Mammalia; Didelphimorphia; Didelphidae.
ACCUACUUCAAUUCCCUGAUUUUAUGGAGGCAUAAACUAGGCUCCAAUGUUACACAGGUUGCAGAGAAGCAAACCUGGAAUUUGAACUCAAGCCUUUUAACUACAAUUCCAAUCUAAGUUCCAUAAUAUAAAACUCUCACUACUCUUAUUCCAUUUCAAGUCCUUAAUUGAAGGUCUUCAUCUAAUAUCAAAUAUGAAUCAUAACCGAAUGCAAUAAGGGAAGAUUUUGUAAGCAGAGCAAAAAUCCAACAAAUCUCUUUUGGGUAAAGGAACUUGAGAAGGGAAGAGGGAGGAAGAAAAAGCUGAGGUUGAUCAUCUAGAAGAGAGAAAGCAAGAGUAAAAUGAACUGGGAAUGAGGAUUUGUUAGAGAAAGAAGAAAGGAAUCCUAGAAUGAGUGCUGUGACACAUGUUAAAAUAUGGAAAUUGCUCUUCAAAUAACCAGGAAUGACCCCAGAGAAAAAUUCCUGAAGGCAAAAUCUCUGGGCAAAGACU